GUGUGUGUGUGUGUGUUUGAACUUGAUUAUUGUGGAAAAGGAGGGAACAGUUGCUGUUUGUUUUGGGUAGGUGGCUUUGGCUCUCCCUGUGAGAAAUGUGUGUAUUGCAGAGUGAGAUCUCUCCAGUUCACUGACCUUAUUUUUUUAGCCAGCCUUUAGUCCUGUCUUUGUAUUUUAUGUAUGCAAACACUCUGGUCCUGGAUAUGAGAGGUGUAAAUUCACUGCUUUAAAACUAAAAAUAAACUUUUUUUUGUCUCAAAAUCUUUCAUGCAGGCAGAACCUAUGCUGCUUUUGGCAGGGACAGGGUUAAAGUGCCAUCCCAGGACAGGAAUGCUGCAACAGGAAUUAGCAGCCUGUGCCCUGUGGUUUUCAUCUGUGCAGCUGCUCUCAAACAUGGACAGUGUGUUUUUAGUACUCAUCUCUGCUCUGUGACCAAGGCAUUUCACUGAAGAUGGUUAAAAGCGGUCCUGCAGACAGAACCAAGGAGCCUCUAUACUGAACAAUCUCAAGGUCUUUCAGUCACAGAGGAUUCACAGCUUCCUGUGAGGCCAUCCUGUGAUCAUGACAUAGAAGUCAGGGGUCAAAAGUUUUGUUUCUGGCUCAGAAGCGGACUUGCUGCCUUCAUUAAUACAAUUAUGGAGCAAGACCAGGACAAAGUUAGAACCUGCUCUGCUGCUUACUUGGAAAAACAAAAGAGAAGAUAAACUGAUGAAUGAAGAUUUCAAGCUAUUAAAUAUCUAAUGAGAAAGUACCGUAUUUCUCCAUAAAAAGACUGGGAACACACUGAAACCAGAAGAAGAACCAUGCCAUAAAGAUACCCACAGCUACAGCUGCAGCUGGUCUGCAAAGCCCUGGCAGGCUGUUCAGCUUUACCUUGUAACAUGUACCAAAGCUGACCCACUGGCCUGCAGCUCUAGUGGGUGUCAAAUUAGGUUGUGAAUGGACCUCAGGAGGUUGAUGCUGCAGCAGUGCGGGGCUAAAGUCAGCUGUAAGUAGCAGAGGUUAUUCCCCUAUGGUCACCAAAUCCCUUGGGCACAGUCUGAACACAGCAGUGGUUCCUGUCACUACUCUAAGACCUCCAUCUAAAGUGAGCUUUUCCAGUGCCCUGUGACAGGCUGAUUUCUCUUAUAAUGCCUGACUUACAAGAGAGAAACUUGGUUUGGAGCCAAGCUACAGCAGCAUGUGAGACAAGCAAGCCCAUUCUGCUCCAGUGCACUGAAGCAUCAAGCAAUGCUCUGGUCACUGAUUGUGGUUUGUCUGUGCUCCAAAACAGUUAGCAGCAGAUUCACUUCAUGUAACUCAAUGCCAAGUCCUUUCUGAAGAACCACAGUGAAUCUUGGUAAAUUCACAUCAUGAGUAAUUGACAUAAGCUGAGCUGGGAAAAGUAAUUGUUCCUGCAACUGCAGUGGCAGGCCUAUGCACAGGAACGGCUCCUAUAAGGAAUGAUCACAGCUACACCUAAAAAGACAGUCCUAUUUCAGUGCUCUAGUCUUGGGCAGGUUUACCUCCUGCCUUCAGACUUCUGGGUCUAAGAGUGAAAGCAAAAGGUUGUCUGUUAUGCUGAAAGGUGUCAGAAAUAAUGUUUCCUGUUAAAUACAAACAAUAACACAUUCCUGGCCUCAAGAAGUGAAGGGGCUCCUUCACUUUUUUUCCCGCCAUCUCUGGAUCAGACCAUUCCUGUUUAACCAGGCAAUAAUGUGUUCAGACUCAGAAUAAGCUGCUCCUUCAGUAUGAGAGGCCACACUCCAGACACAGGCAGCCUGAUCAACUUUCCCAUUUCUCCUGUCUCUGUAUUUAAUUUUCACUGGGAGAGUUUCUGAAUCCACUGAUUAGGGUGCCAUGUAUAUUGGCAUGUAUAAUAAUUCCAAAAAUGCAGGGCCUAGAUUAGUAGGACUGCUACUGAAGCACAUGGGUCUGCUGGCAAAGUUCUGUAUGACUCCUUUCUACCCCUGUCUGUGCCCACUAACUAACAUGUAACAACAGUAAUAAAUUAAUUUUCAUGAGUUUUAGAAUCUAGUAAGUAAAAUAUAGAGAGACCUCUCCUUUCCAUGGCUUGUAGAUGAGCAGAAGGUGAGGGGAAGUGCUCUUUCCAUGUCUGUCAGCCACAGAACAUCUCAAGUGUCUGCAGAAUCACCUACUGUCUUUGCCUAGCCUUCCUGAGCUGCUGUGAAGAUUUUUAAGAUACUCACACUUUAAUAACUUAAAAUAUAAACUUCUGUGUGUAUAAUAAGAUAAUUUACAGGAAGGUAGUGCAUCAUAUUUUUUGUUAUACUUCUUGAAUCCCAAGAUAAAAUUUAUUCUUGCUUAAUAACACCAGUGGCAGUAUUGCAGGGUUUGGGAGUGUUCUUGUGAUCAAAGCAUUUCUGCAGACUUCUUUAGAUUCUUGUUACAGUCUUUUAGUUCCUGUUGCUUGCAGUUACCAUUUUUAUUGUUGUAUUUUUUGUUCUGGUUAAAGUACUUUUAAAUCCACUCUUCAAAACCAGAAUAAACAGAGUGAAUACACAGCUGAACUGCAAUAUUCAGCACCCAACUAACCUCUUCCGGUAGUGCCACUCUGUGAUGCUCAAUAUGACUUUCCCAGCACAGAACCCAAGAAGCAGGGAGUGAACCUUCUCUGCAAAUCAAUAAGUAGUAAUAGGCAAUGUAUACUUCUAAUAUAUUUUAGAAACUCUACUGUAGAUGUCCUCAUGAAGGGAUUGUUCUCAAGGGUCUUAAAUUUAAAAAAAAAAAAGUCUGGAAGUAGAAGGUUUACAGUCUCUUGCAAAAUAAAAUAUUCUAAGGUUUCAGUAAUUGGUUUUAAAUAUGGGAGUUUUAUUUCACUGAUGCCACAGUUGUUCUGCAGAAGGGACCUACAAGAAACCUGGAAAAAAACUUUGUCAAGGGCAUGGAGUGACAGGACAAGGGGAAGUGGCUUUAAGC
Non-coding RNA from Cyanistes caeruleus (blue tit), 2919 nucleotides. The record is from RefSeq and is a predicted model, not a curated record. NCBI's taxonomy places the organism in Eukaryota, Metazoa, Chordata, Aves, Passeriformes, Paridae.